This is an RNA transcript of Otolemur garnettii (small-eared galago), 700 nucleotides long. It is a transcript of the gene named ferritin heavy chain pseudogene, with no coding region annotated. The transcript has a single exon. The record is from RefSeq and is a predicted model, not a curated record. NCBI's taxonomy places the organism in Eukaryota, Metazoa, Chordata, Mammalia, Primates, Galagidae.
AUGAUGACUGUGUCCCCUUGGCAGGUGUGCCAGAACUACCAGCAGGACUCAGAGGUCGCCAUCAACCACCAGACCUGCAGUUCUACGCCUCCUACCUCUACCUGUCCAUGUCUUACUACUUUGACCACAAUGAUGUAGCUUUGAAGAAUUUUGCCAAAUACUUUCUUUGCCAAUCGCACGAGGAGAGGGAACAUGCUGAGAAACUGAAGAAGCUGCAGAAUCAAUAAGGUGGUGGAAUCUUCCUUCGGGAUAUCAAGAAACCAGACUGUGAUGACUAGGAGAGUGGGCUGAAUGCUAUGGAGUGUGGGACACUCUUGGGAAAAAGUGUGAAUCAGUCACUACUGGAACUGCACAAACUGGCCGCUGACAAAAAUGACCCUUGCUUGUGUGACUUCAUGGAGACACAUUACCUGAAUGAGCAGAUGAAAUCCAUCAAAGAACUGGGUGACCAACCUGUCCAAGAUGAGAGUCCCUAAGGCUGGCAUGGCAGAGUAUCUCUAUGACAAGCGUACCCUGGGAGACAGUGAUAAUGAAAGCUAAGCCUUAGGCUAACUUCCCCUUAGUCACAGGUGACUUCCGUGGUCACCAAGGCAGUGCAUGCGUGUUGGGGUUUCCUUUACCUUUCCUAUAAGUUGUACCAAAACAUCCACUUAAGUUCUUUCAUUUGUACCAUUCCUUCAAAUAAAGAAAUUUAGUACCC